CUGCAGGCUGCAACUCGCCUGCACGAAGCCGGAGUUGCUAGUAAUCGCGGAUCAGAAUGCCGCGGUGAAUGCGUUCCCGGGUCUUGUACACACCGCCCGUCACACCAUGGAAGUUGGGGGUGCCCAAAGCCGGCAGGGAAAUAUNCUGUCUAAGGCAAAACCAAUGACUGGGGUGAAGUCGUAACAAGGUAUC
RNAcentral lists this ribosomal RNA (193 nucleotides) under uncultured bacterium. RNAcentral's name for it is "partial 16S ribosomal RNA". It matches the Rfam family "Bacterial small subunit ribosomal RNA", at positions 1298 to 1500 of the family's 1533-position model. The record is from RNAcentral.